UUGAGGUUAGAAUAUCACGAAAAUGUGCAUAUUCUAAACGUUCUAAACUCAUUUAUUGGUUUUUUUCUUUCUGCUUUACAUUUCUUGUUACUGUAAAAUCACUUUUCAAAAAUUUAUGAAAUCGUAUUCAAUCUAAACACAAUAAAAUCACAAAAUAACUUACAGUUUGCACACAAAAAUUUAAUUUUUUUCAACUAAUAGGAACUCUCGCAAAAUUGCGUUAUGAAAAUAAUGUGUUUACGGUUUUGACAGAUUAUUAAUGUCGACGUAUACGUAACCACAGCUGUCAUAAUAUAUACGUAACUUCGUAUUUUCACAUUGUGGAGAAUUUUUUCUGUUUCAUUAAUAAUGAAUCAUUAUUUUCUGUUCCCAUAGAAUGGUAUGGCGCUCAUUAGCGAGA
Molecule: long non-coding RNA, 400 nt
Organism: Contarinia nasturtii (swede midge)
Lineage: Eukaryota; Metazoa; Arthropoda; Insecta; Diptera; Cecidomyiidae
Exons: 3
Source: RefSeq, a predicted model, not a curated record